CAGCCGCCGCGGGAAUACGGAGGGUGCAAGCGUUAAUCGGAAUUACUGGGCGUAAAGCGCACGCAGGCGGUCUGACAAGUCAGAUGUGAAAUCCCCGGGCUUAACCUGGGAACUGCAUUUGAAACUGUCAGGCUGGAGUCUUGUAGAGGGGGGUAGAAUUCCAGGUGUAGCGGUGAAAUGCGUAGAGAUCUGGAGGAAUACCGGUGGCGAAGGCGGCCCCCUGGACAAAGACUGACGCUCAGGUGCGAAAGCGUGGGGAGCAAACAGGAUUAGAUACCCCUGUAGUCCCUGUCUCUUAUAA
Molecule: ribosomal RNA, 301 nt
Filed under: uncultured bacterium
Lineage: Bacteria
Description: partial 16S ribosomal RNA
Rfam family: Bacterial small subunit ribosomal RNA
Source: RNAcentral